Long non-coding RNA from Manis pentadactyla (Chinese pangolin), 1596 nucleotides. RefSeq lists it as uncharacterized. The transcript is spliced from 3 exons. Lineage: Eukaryota; Metazoa; Chordata; Mammalia; Pholidota; Manidae. The record is from RefSeq and is a predicted model, not a curated record.
UUGGGGACUCAGUCAGAUGACCUUCCAGAUCUCAGGUCUGGCAUUCCUGGACCUGCCUAGGAAUUUUCUCAGCCAUACCAGUGACCCCAGGACGCAGGGGGAACCAUCUGCCAUGCUAUAACUACCAGGCAACACAGCAUUUCUCUGUCUGCAGUUUGAUGUUUCAUAUGGCAACCACUGCACAUUUUACUAACGAUAGCCUUGGCCACCAAACCCAAUUGGUUAACUGGCUCCUCUCCAAGGUAGAACGAGUGUCUCUCCUGGGCCUCUUUCUCUGUCCAGUGAGACUAAUUCAUCAUGUGUACAGGAAAGUCCCUUCUAAAUCAUAGCCAAAAACUCUUCUUUUUCCUGGAGCCCAGAUAAGCUGGGACAGAGUUCACUGUUUUGCAAGUUUCAGAGGUGAAAGUCACUGUCAUUAAAAAAAAAAAAAAAUUGGCAGAAAGUCUAGAGAUGAUUCACGCUGGGAAUUCUGACUGGUUGAUAGCAUAUUCAUUCACAGUCUAAUAAAUCAUUCGCCAGGGAGGGACAGGGGAGGACCGAGAGACUCCAGAGAGGGAAAGCAGAGCGGGAUCCCUGGGGGGAAUAAGCAUUCCUGGCGUCCCUGACUCUACCUGGCGGCUACAGCUUUUUCCUGAGGGAGGAUGUACUUGGGGGUGUGUGACGGAGUUUGGCUGGACGCGCAAAAGGGGAGCGGCUGCUGGAGCUCCGCUUAUGGGCCGGGCCUGAAAUCAGUGGAGACACAGCACACAUCACAGAAAGAGAAGAGCAGGGUGCUGUGAGAAGAGCAUCAGACUACUGACCUGGGGACUGGCUCUGAGCCCAGAUUUGUCACUUGGCUAAGCUGUGUGACCCAGGAGAAGCCACAUGCCUGUUCUGUUCUUGAGAAGAGAGCAGACCCUUUGCUCUCCAAGGUCUGUCCUGACCCUGUGGAUCUCUGAUUCUCUGACUUUCUCUCUUGUGGACACUAGGGACUUAGCCAUUAUAUCUUUUCUCUUUAAACUCCAAGCCAGCACACCAGCUCUGAGAGGGUGAAGCAGUUCUGGUAGCAAUGCCGUUAACCUGGAAUCAAGAAUGCAGUCGUCAAAGAGCCACUUAUGGCAGAUCAGUAUCUGGACGCUUAACCCUACAAGUUGCUUGUGACGGAAUUGGAGGGUGUGGCAAGGGGCCAGUGGCAGGAGAGACCCUUGGAGUGCAGCCGAGAGCCAGGACUUGGCUGAGAAGACCUGGAUUCUGGAGCAGUCCUCCACUACUGCAGAGCCCAUGUUUAGGGCUUAACUGAUUCAAUAAUGAGAAUAAUAAUUUAGGUCCGUAUAGACAAAAGAAAUGGGCCAGUUCAGGAAAUUAUUGAAUAAUUCAAGUAGAACAGUACACCUGAAAAAAUCAGGAAAUAGAAAAUAAUCCUCUUACCAUACAAUUGCUUCAAUUUUCAUUUCCUGAUUAAAAGAAAACAUGCCUCAAUGAAUGAUCUGUUUUCUCAAACAUCCCUCCUCCCUCCUUUCUUCAUCUCUCAAAUCUGCCCCUUUCUCCUUGCUUGCCCCGAGUUUCAAGUCCUGAGAUCAGAAUUUCAGGAUGGAAACCUUAAUGUAGAGGAUGAGA